Molecule: ribosomal RNA, 252 nt
Filed under: Clostridioides difficile
Lineage: Bacteria; Bacillati; Bacillota; Clostridia; Peptostreptococcales; Peptostreptococcaceae
Description: partial 23S ribosomal RNA
Rfam family: Bacterial large subunit ribosomal RNA
Source: RNAcentral
CUCCCCCAAGAGUCCACAUCGAGGGGAGGUUUGGCACCUCGAUGUCGGCUCAUCACAUCCUGGGGCUGUAGUAGGUCCCAAGGGUGGGGCUGUUCGCCCAUUAAAGUGGUACGCGAGCUGGGUUAAGAACGUCGUGAGACAGUUCGGUCCCUAUCCGUCGCAGGCGUAGGAAAUUUGAGAAGACCUGUCCUUAGUACGAGAGGACCGGGAUGGACGUACCUCUGGUGUACCAGUUGUCCUGCCAAGGGCAUG